GCGACCCCAGGUCAGGCGGGACUACCCGCUGAAUUUAAGCAUAUAAAUAAGCGGAGGAGAAGAAACUUACAAGGAUUCCCCUAGUAACGGCGAGCGA
This 97-nucleotide ribosomal RNA is filed under the name Poa pratensis (Kentucky bluegrass). RNAcentral describes it as "partial 26S ribosomal RNA". It matches the Rfam family "Eukaryotic large subunit ribosomal RNA", at positions 1 to 96 of the family's 3401-position model. RNAcentral also lists the same sequence under 45 other names. The record is from RNAcentral. Lineage: Eukaryota; Viridiplantae; Streptophyta; Magnoliopsida; Poales; Poaceae.